AUUCCAGCUCCAAUAGCGUAUAUUAAAGUUGUUGCAGUUAAAAAGCUCGUAGUUGGAGUUCAGAGUGAGCUCAGCCGGUCGGCCUCAUGGGUCAGAACUGGUCGACUCUCUCUUGUUUGUGGAUCCCGUCCGGAGUUAACUCUUCGGAAUGUGGAGUUCACAUCGUUUACCUUGAAAAAAUUAGAGUGUUCAAAGCAGGCGUUUGCUUGAAUAUAUUAGCAUGGAAUAAUGGAAUAGGACCCUGGUUCUAUUUUGUUGGUUUUGAGGACCAGAGUAAUGAUUAAUAGGGAUAGUUGGGGGCAUUCAUAUUUCAUUGUCAGAGGUGAAAUUCUUGGAUCUAUGAAAGACAAACAACUGCGAAAGCACUUGCCAAGAGUGUUUUCAUUA
RNAcentral lists this ribosomal RNA (387 nucleotides) under Telonemia sp. RNAcentral's name for it is "partial small subunit ribosomal RNA". It matches the Rfam family "Eukaryotic small subunit ribosomal RNA", at positions 582 to 975 of the family's 1831-position model. The record is from RNAcentral. Lineage: Eukaryota; Telonemia.